Non-coding RNA from Vicia faba (fava bean), 309 nucleotides. The record is from the annotation of a GenBank genome assembly. NCBI's taxonomy places the organism in Eukaryota, Viridiplantae, Streptophyta, Magnoliopsida, Fabales, Fabaceae.
AUGUUCAAUAACAACGAUACUUUCUCCGUCCGUUUUCUGUUCUGCAACUCAACCAUCAGGGAAGACACCCUCUUCCGCUUUGCUACUCACAAACAAGAUUCAUCUCAGCCAUUUUAUUCCCUUCAACAUUGUCCAACGUCAACAACCCAACAACCACACCAAACCUUCUUCGUAGCAUACUCCAUAUGUAUUCCUUCCAACACAACCCAGCUACCACACCAACCAAUUGUUCCACAUCUCCGGUCAAACCAACCACUCCUCUGUUCACAGACUCACCUUCCUCCACCAUCAUCUUCAAGUUGGUACUAA